RNAcentral lists this transfer RNA (56 nucleotides) under Bacillus anthracis (anthrax bacterium). RNAcentral's name for it is "tRNA-Gly". It matches the Rfam family "tRNA", at positions 7 to 59 of the family's 71-position model. Rfam says of the family: Transfer RNA (tRNA) molecules are approximately 80 nucleotides in length. The record is from RNAcentral. Lineage: Bacteria; Bacillati; Bacillota; Bacilli; Caryophanales; Bacillaceae.
AAGUAGUUCAGUGGUAGAAUACAACCUUGCCAAGGUUGGGGUCGCGGGUUCGAAUC